AAUAGAUACCCCGGUAGUCCACGCCGUAAACGGUGGGCACUAGGUGUGGGCAACAUUCCACGUUGUCCGUGCCGCAGCUAACGCAUUAAGUGCCCCGCCUGGGGAGUACGGCCGCAAGGCUAAAACUCAAAGGAAUUGACGGGGGGCCCGCACAAGCGGCGGAGCAUGUGGCUUAAUUCGACGCAACGCGGAGAACCUUACCAAGGCUUGACAUACACCGGAAACGUCUGGAGACAGGCGCCCCCUUGUGGUCGGUGUACAGGUGGUGCAUGGCUGUCGUCAGCUCGUGUCGUGAGAUGUUGGGUUAAGUCCCGCAACGAGCGCAACCCUUGUCCCGUGUUGCCAGCAGGCCCUUGUGGUGCUGGGGACUCACGGGGAGACCGCCGGGGUCAACUCGGAGGAAGGUGGGGACGACGUCAAGUCAUCAUGCCCCUUAUGUCUUGGGCUGCACACGUGCUACAAUGGCCGGUACAAUGAGCUGCGAUACCGCGAGGUGGAGCGAAUCUCAAAAAGCCGGUCUCAGUUCGGAUUGGGGU
Molecule: ribosomal RNA, 536 nt
Filed under: uncultured bacterium
Lineage: Bacteria
Description: bacterial SSU rRNA
Rfam family: Bacterial small subunit ribosomal RNA
Source: RNAcentral